This 250-nucleotide ribosomal RNA is filed under the name bacterium. Its description in RNAcentral is "partial 16S rRNA". It matches the Rfam family "Bacterial small subunit ribosomal RNA", at positions 29 to 283 of the family's 1533-position model. The record is from RNAcentral.
AACGAACGCUGGCGGCGUGCUUAAUACAUGCAAGUCGAACGAGAAAGCCUUCGGGUGAGUAUAGUGGCGCACGGGAGAGUAAUGCAUAGGAACGUACCUUUGGGUGGGGGAUAACCACUGGAAACGGUGGCUAAUACCGCAUGGUCUGGCAACAGUAAGGAUGGCCUCUACUUGUAAGCUAUCGCCCAUAGAUCGGCCUAUGUCCCAUUAGCUAGUUGGUGAGGUAAAGGCUCACCAAGGCUCCGAUGGG